Molecule: ribosomal RNA, 497 nt
Filed under: uncultured bacterium
Lineage: Bacteria
Description: partial 16S ribosomal RNA
Rfam family: Bacterial small subunit ribosomal RNA
Source: RNAcentral
GAUGAACGCUGGCGGCGUGCCUAAUACAUGCAAGUCGAGCGAACAGACGAGGAGCUUGCUCCUCUGACGUUAGCGGCGGACGGGUGAGUAACACGUGGAUAACCUACCUAUAAGACUGGGAUAACUUCGGGAAACCGGAGCUAAUACCGGAUAAUAUAUUGAACCGCAUGGUUCAAUAGUGAAAGACGGUUUUGCUGUCACUUAUAGAUGGAUCCGCGCCGCAUUAGCUAGUUGGUAAGGUAACGGCUUACCAAGGCGACGAUGCGUAGCCGACCUGAGAGGGUGAUCGGCCACACUGGAACUGAGAGUCGGUCCAGACUCCUACGGGAGGCAGCAGUAGGGAAUCUUCCGCAAUGGGCGAAAGCCUGACGGAGCAACGCCGCGUGAGUGAUGAAGGUCUUCGGAUCGUAAAACUCUGUUAUUAGGGAAGAACAAAUGUGUAAGUAACUAUGCACGUCUUGACGGUACCUAAUCAGAAAGCCACGGCUAACUACGUG